This 312-nucleotide small nuclear RNA is filed under the name Mus pahari (shrew mouse). RNAcentral describes it as "sRNA (MGP_PahariEiJ_G0008056.1)". It matches the Rfam family "7SK RNA". Rfam says of the family: 7SK was discovered as an abundant small nuclear RNA in the mid-70s but a possible function has only recently been suggested. Two independent studies have found that 7SK RNA binds the CDK9/cyclin T complex (known as elongation factor P-TEFb). The record is from RNAcentral. Lineage: Eukaryota; Metazoa; Chordata; Mammalia; Rodentia; Muridae.
GAAUCUGAGGGCCAUCUGGCUGCAGCUCUCUCUCCCCAUGGCUCAGCAGAGUUGAUCUGGAUGAUUUAACUGCCUAGGCAGGUGUUCCCUUUCUCCCAGACCAUUCCAGGGGCAUCCUUUCUGAAACUGCGGGUUCCAUUGAAGAGGACUUUCCCAGAAUAGAGGAGGACCAAUCUUUGGUUGAGGGCAUGCAAGUAGCAUACCUUUAAAGAGCUCUCAAGAAAGUCCUCCCUCCCCUAUGUCUAUCAAGUUUCCCUUUAAUAAUUUUAUGCUUUCAGGUCUAACAUGAAAGUUUUUCAUCCAUUUCAAGUU